This 9441-nucleotide long non-coding RNA is filed under the name Homo sapiens (human). RNAcentral describes it as "HSALNT0358143". The record is from RNAcentral. Lineage: Eukaryota; Metazoa; Chordata; Mammalia; Primates; Hominidae.
CUCCGUGGCCGCCCAGGCGCCACAGCGGGGAGCCGCGGUCGACCCCUCCGGGAUGGGGGCCAGGGCAGCCUCCGCGGCUAUCCCGGGAGUCCUGCUCCGACACCACCUCCACAGGGGAAGCCGCUCGGAGAGACGCAGGGACCCAGGCAAGGGAUGCGGGCAAACGCGCCAAGGGUUCAGCAGAGGGGCGUGACCGCCAGUUGGCCGGGCUGAGCGAGGCGCCAGAGGGAAGCCUGCAAGGUACGUCUGCGAGAGCCGGGUGCGGGCGCGGCAGGGGAAAAGGGGGGCGCUGACUCUCUUACCGCCAGGUCCGGAUUGCGGCUGUCCCUGUGUGACACGGCUCGGAUGACCCCCGCUCGCCAGCUUCGCCAGCCGCGUCCGCUCUCCCAGCGCUCCGAACGUGCCUCGUCGCCGACCGCCACACACAGGAACCGCUUACCCACCAGCUCUGCCCGCGUCUCUACCGCCAUAGCUGUCGCUGCCGAAGCGGCCGCUGCCUCCUCCAGUGCGAGGGAACCGAUGAAACCUCACUCCUACCGGCCGCUCAUGCUGAGGAGAGCGGACCGGGACACAGCAGCGGACCCGAAAGAGCGCAGACUCGGGACGAACCGGCCGCUCUGCCCCGGACACAGCGACCUCGGGCCCUCCCCGCAAACACUCCUUUGGACUCCCAGAUUCGCAGCCUUGUGCUGCAGCGCCACACAAGAAAACUGAAACAAAACCCAACGCGGCCGUCGAAGACCCCGAGGCAGCCCAGCCGCCGCCACCGCGCCGCGGCCAGUACUGCUCCGUCUCCCUCCCCGGGCAGCGGCGGCGCGCAGCGCGUCUCCUUCCGCCGGCGCGGGCGGGGCAGCAGCCGCGGGAGGGUCGGCGGAACCACCGCAGACGGAAAGUAGUGCCCGGCCCUGCGGAGGCGGCAGCGGCCACUGGGUCCGUCCAGAUCCAGAGGCGGCGGCGGCGGCGGCAGCGGGAGACGAAAAAAUGAAGAGGGCCGCGGGAAAGUAGGCGACAGCUAUUCAAAGCUUUUGGGGGUCUACCUUUGUAUUCGUUGCUCCCUCAGAGGUGGAGGUGAGGGGAAAGUGAAGUGUAGUGGUUCCACUCUGAUCACAAAAUAAACUCCUGGGUUGACGCCUCACCCGCGGUUUGAUGUUCAGAGCACACAGCGCCCGCCGCCUGAGUUAGCCUGAAUUAGCAGUCCCGCAGUAACAGCAGCAGAGCAGGACAACACUUCUACUGAAAACUAAGCCCCAAAGUCACAGCAGAACCAACCGUUCAUGACUUCAAGGGAAAACGAGGGGGAAAAUGUGAUCCUUUCAUUCUUCUCAUUUGUGGUGAUACUAAUUACAUGUUUAAGCUAUUCACAGAUUUAAAUUCGUCACUGCUUUAUUAUAAGAACAGCAAAUGCUCCGUGGCGGGCCCUUGUCAACGUCCUGAAAUUUCACAAACCGUGUCUGCGACAGUCUUAGUACUUUUAGUACUGGUACACAGCUCAAACACACUGGUCAGAUAAUAAAAGCAGAGAAAAUCCCCAGAUUCAGUUAUUAGAAAAUACCAUGGAAAGAAAAGGAUUUUAGCCAAUCACAAUUCAAGAAAAAAAAUAUUUAUUUCCCAUCCAAUUACAAUCGGACUCCCUAACCCACACAAAGAUCUCUAACUUGGAACAAUCACUCUUCUUUGAUCAACUUAUUUGUUAUAAAUCAAACCUCCCUACAAAUGUCAGUGAGCAGUUCGAUUUCAGGCACCCUUUAUACUGCUUUUUUAUAGGUAGUCCAAUAUUCUAAAUUUCAGUUUCUUGAGAUUUUCCUGAACCUCUAUUUAAAAAAAAAAAGUUAACAGAGUUUACAGUAGUAAUCUGAAUGUUUAAAAUAACUAUAAGGCUUUUAUCUGUUUUCUCUAGAACACUCAAGCUGGGCAAUUUGAAGUGGAGAAACACAACCACUGCUAAUAGGUUAGAAACCAAAAUUAUAAGGAAGAUGGAUUUUAAUAAUCAUGGUCAAAUUUUGCCAAAGACCAAACAUAGAACUGUAAUAAAUAGGCUGGGCACGGUGCCUCACGCCUGUAAUCCCUGCACUUUAGGAGGCAGAUCACCUGAGGUCGGGAGUUCGAGACCAGCCUGGCCAACAUGAUGAAACUAAAUGUAUUUUUAGUCUCUACUAAAAAUACAAAAAAUUAGCUGGGCAUGGUGGAGCAUGCCUGUAAUCCCAGCUACUCAGGAGGCAGCAGGAGAAUCACUUGAACCUGGGAGCUGGAGGUUGCAGUGAGCCGGGAUCGUGCCACUGCACUCCAACCUGGUCAACAAGAGCAAAACUCAGUCCCCCCGAAAACAAACAAACAAACAAAAAACCUGUAAUAAAUUAAAACAGCAAAACAUACCCAAAAAUGCAUAUCGGCAAGUUGAGAGAAAAAAUUUUGCUUGGGCAAUUUUAUUUCCAAGUCCACUUUUUCAGUGUACACUGUAUAAUACUUAGCAAAUUAUCUUAAGAAUUACAGAUGAAGAUUUCUAAAAUCAGUGUAGAUUAAGGAACCAGUAAAGUGACUUGGUGACAAUAAUUCAACAUAUGUAAGGAUAAAAGAGUAGGGAGAUCAACAUCCAGAUACCAAGUCAUCAAUGAUCUGCUUUGUGACCAUGGGCAUGAUGCAAUUGUAAAAAUGCAAAAAUGCCUGAAUCCUAAUUUUCAGUGAUAUCCUAGGAGCAAACGAAAAAUACAAAUAAAGUCAUUUGAGAAAAACAUGCAAAUUCAUCAGUUAUUACAUAAAUCCCACUCACCAAAUUACAUUCUUAAGAGUAUAGGUUGCUAGUUGCCUUAUAUAAAACUGCCAGCUGUUUUCAAUUUUGUAGGCAAACUGCUCUAAAUGGGCCCCUGGGAACUCCCACUACAUGUUGAAUUCCAUCCUUUUCAGUCCUCUGAAAAGCAUGUAAUCCAACAAAUCAAUCAAAAUAUUUCAUGUAUAGAAACAAAGUUUUUCAGGAGGGCAUAUAUCCCCAAAAUAUUUUUAAUCAAGUAUCUUAAUAUUCUUAGAACUCUGGUCCAAAUUCUCUUCUACUAAUCCCUUGACUACAGCCAAUGCCUAGAGUUUACACUAAUUUGUGGAUAUUUUGCUGUUGGAAAAAUUUAAAAGUACAUUUUUUUAAAUGUAGAAUAAAAAGUCCUUAAAGAUUUUUUGUUUGUUUGCUGGCAUUUUUUGCUUCGUUUUGUAUUAAGGGGUAUUUUUAUUAUUUUAUUUUUGCCAGCAAAUCAUAACUUUGUAAAUAACAAGGAAUUUAAAAAAUUUUUCAAGUUGGUUUUGAAACUUCAGAAUAUUUGUUUCUUAACUUGUUUCCUUACAUUCUUUACUUCCAUAAAGAUACUCGGAAACAGAAGAGUAAUGGUAUUUGUUUUCAUUAUACAGGAUAUAUAAGCUCCAUAAGGCAUCUUUGUCUUGUUCAUAACUAUACUCCCAGCAGCUACCAGGCCUUGCUAAGAGAUGAUAAAACAUGUUAUAGCAUGAAUGAAUGAAUGAAUGAAUAUAGCAAAAUGUACCUUUUUCUAAAUCUAACUCAACUAAGAGGAACUUAGAAUCUCGGACAUAAAUGAGAGUUCCUGUUCUUCCUACAGGGUUAUUCAUCACCUUCAAAAUAAUGUCUUAUGUACAUUAUCUCUUUUCAUCAUGGAGGUACAAUGUUAAGCCUUCGAAAACAUGCUUCAGUAGAAAAGCAAGGUUUUUCCUGGGAAAAUUUCUAAAGAACAGAUACAGAAGGAAGAGUUACAAUUCUCAAGAAAAAACAUUCAUUUCAUUACCAAACUACCAAUUUAAUACAAACCCAAAAAUGAUCCUAUGAGUGUAUAUCCAAAACACUAGUCUAUUCUUAGUCUUCUAAAAAGAACAGUCUCAAAUAACAUCCUUGAUGGAGCCAAUAUACAAACAUAACUUUCUGACUAUCUUCUUGAUGCCAUGGAAGGAGGGAAAGAGAAGAAAAAAAGGAAGAUAGAAAAGAAAUGAAGGAGGAAGUGAAGCAAUCUCUAUUGGGCCUUCUAAUUGUACUUUCUAUCCAUCUGUUAUCCAGUUUCCAGUUUAAAUUCUGGCUGCACAGGAAUGUACCACUUCUUUUCAACAUUCUCUUCUCUAUUAAAAACAAGGUUGAUUUUUAAUGAUAAAAAAUUAAAAAUUUAGAAAGAAUACACAAAGCAUCAGAAAAUUCCUAAUCUGCUGAGUGAGGAACUACAAGAAAUAAAGAAAUGGAAAGUUGCCAUUGAGCACACAGUAAGAGUCUUGCCAGCGUGUCCCACUGCACUUUUUCUCUGUUCAUCAUCCCUAUCAUAAACGCUCCAACUAUUAACUACCAUUAAAAUAUGCAAGUCUGCACUUUGCAAACAGGUUAGGUUCCAAAAGGGUCGUGUUCUUAUUAAUCUUACAAGCUUUCACUAUUGUUACAAGUUAAUAGCAGCAGGGUAAAAGUCUUCUGUUUAUAUCCAUGAAAGUUCAUUAAGUAAAGGAGGUUCUAAACUUGUAUUAAAACUAUAAAUGAAGGAAAGCCAAUGUAAAAUCUAAACUAAAAAGUAAUACCAACUCAAAAUCUCUGCAUGCUAACCAUAUACUCCAUCUAUGUUCUUCCUCACCAAUGAAGCUAGGUAUUAUAUAAUGAAGGAAAUUUAUAAUCAAGAACACACGUAAUUCAGCAAGGAGCAAAGUAUGCUUUCCUGUCACGUGGUAGGUUCAAACCCCCAAAAUGUUAAAGGACUGACAAAAGUAAUCUUGCUUAGCAAAACAAAUAUUGUUAGAAAGACUUCAGCAUAUGCUAUUUCUCAAAGGUCUCAAAGAAGAUAUACAUAUGAUUAAUACUAAUAUUACUACAUACUAAUUACUAAUAUUAAUACAUACUAAUAUAAUACAAACCAAAGUACUAAAUAACAGUUUUUAAACAUCAUUGUAAAACUGCUUCUUUCCUCUGCUUUCCAAGUUUGGUCAUAAAACCAUUAUAUUAAAACAAAUAGGUCAGGCAUGGUAGCUCUCACCUGUAAUCCCAGCACACUGGGAGGCUGAGUGGGGCGGAUCACCUGAGGUCGGGAAUUUGAGAUCAGCCUGACCAAUACAGUAAAAUGCCUUCUCUACUAAAAAUACAAAAAUUAGCUGGGCAUGGUGGCACAUGGCUGUAGUGCCAACUACUCGGGAGGCUAAGGGAGGGGAAUCACUUGAACGCGGGAAGCAAGAGACUUCAGUGGGCUGAGAUUGCACCACUGCACUGAAGCCUGGGCGACAGAGUGAGACUCAGUCUCAAAACAAACAAACAAACAAACAAACAGUCUAUCAAAACUAACUUGAAAUGGAAGAAUUUUUGCAAUGUUCUACAUUACAAAUAAACUUUUGAAUUGACACUUUUUAACCUUAUAUACCUUCUUCAUCUAUAAUAGAUAAAAAUCCUAUCUCAACUAUUAUAUAUUAUAUAUAAUAAUUUCUUAAUAAUUUCAACUAUUCUAGCUACAAAAAUUAUCUUAAAAGCAAUUGCUUCAUUUGCUUUUAUAUCUAAAUUUGCAUGGAUGCUUCUUUCCCCCACUUGCAAUUUCUUUUUUAUUUAAUUAUUUAUUUUUUUGAGUCAGAGUCUCCCUGUUGCCCAGGUUGGAGUGCAACGGCGUAAUCUCAGCUACUGCAACCUCCACCUCCUGAGUUCAAGCAAUUCUCGUGCCUCAGUCUCCCAAGUAGCUGGAAUUAAAGGCAUGUGCCACCACGCCUGGCUAAUUUUUGUAUUUUUAGUAGAGACGGGGUUUCACUGUGUUGGCCAGGCUGGUCUCUAACUCCUGACCUCAAGUGAUCCACCUGCCUCUGCCUCCCAAAGUGCUGGGAUUGCAGGCAUGAGCCACUGCGCCCCGCCCUGCAAUUUCUUUUUAUAUUCACAAGUUUUAAAAUUUCAUAUAUAGCCAAAUAUGCUAAUAUAUUUAUGUUGCAGCCUUAAGGCAUGCUUUAAAAAUACUCUAUGUAGGUAUUCUUUGGUAUUUUCUUUUAGGAAUUUUAUAAUUCAAUUUUUAUUUAUUUAUUUAUUUUUGAGAUGGAGUCUUGCUCUGUUGCCAGGCUGGAGUGCAGUGGCGCGAUCAUAGGAUCACCGCAACCGCCUUCUCUCAGGUUCAAGCAAUUCUCCUGCCUCAGCCUCCCGAGUAGGUGGGACUACAGGCGAGCGCCACCACGCCCAGCUAAUUUUUGUAUUUUUAGUAGAGACAGGGUCUCAUCAUGUUGGCCAGGAUGGUCUCGAUCUCUUGACCUCAUGAUCUGCCCUCCUCGGCCUCCCAAAGUGCUGGGAUUACGGGCGUAAGCCACUGCCCCCAGCCUAAUUCAAAUUUUAAAUCUGUUAAUGUAUCCCUUAAUUACAAAAGACCUACAGAAUAGAGAUAUAAUACUUUCUAUAAAACUAAUAAAGAUGAAAAAAACAUUAAGUAGGACAAGGAUAUGGUAAAACAAAUGCUCUGUUGUAGAAGUAAUACACAUUUGGUUAAAAAAACUUUUUUUUUUGAGACACGGUCUCACUCUGUCAUCCAGGCUGGAGUGCAGUGGCACAAUCUUGGCUCACUGCAACCUCUGCCUCGGAAGUUCAAGCAGUUCUCCUGCCUCAGCCUCCUGAGUAGCUGGGAUUACAGGCACACAGCACCACACCUGGCUAAUUUUUGCAUUUUUGAGUAGAGACGGGGUUUCACUAUGUUGGCCAGGCUAGUCUCGAACUCCUGACCUCAAGUGAUCCUCCCACCUUGGCCUCCCAAAGUGCUGGGAUUUCAGGCAUGAGCCACUGUGCCUGGCCAGGUAAAAAGAACUUCUAGGAAUUACAGGUCACUUAUUGCAUCGAAACUGGACUUGCCUUUACAUUCUUAAUGUACUUUUACUUUUCCUCAAGAUAUGAACUUAUUGUUGUAAAGCUGAAUUUUCUUUCGCUACUUAAAUCAUUUAUGUAUAUCUGGUAAAUUAUGACUAAAUUUUUGUUAAAUUGCAUAAAGUAAACUGAAAUACAUACUUGGGGCCAGGCACAGUGGCUCACACCUGUAAUUCCAGCACUUUGGGAGGCCAAGGCGGGCGGAUCACCUGAGGUCAGGAGUUUGAGACCAGCCUGGCCAACAUGGUGAAACCUCGUCUCUACUAAAAAUACAAAAAUUAGUUGGGCAUGGUGAUGGGCACCUGUAAUCCCAGCUACUCAGGAGGCUGAGACAGGAGAAUCCCUAGAUCCCGGGAGGCGAACGUUGCAGUGAGCCGAGAUUGCGCUAUUGCACUCCAGCCUAGGUGACAAGAGUGAAACUCUGUCUCAAAAAAAAGAAAAGAAAAAAAGAAAUAAAUACACACUUGGUACACUAAAAAAAAUAAUAAUAAUAAAUAAAUAAAUAAAUAAAUAACUUCUGGGAAGCAAUCUGACCAUCUUUACUGAUAACAGCCUUAAACAAAUCAUACCAUUUGACUCAGUAAUUCGACUCCUUGGAAAUCACCCUCAGUGAACAGACUAAGGAUAUAGAAAUAUGGAAAAAGUAUGUUAGAUGCUUUGGUCAACUGAUUGCUGAGUCUCUCCUCAAUCGCUAAAAUGAGUGGGAGUGUAAGAGUGCUUAUAAAGCGGGCAGCCGUGAAGAAAAGUGUUUUAGGAUGAGAGAGAUACAUACUUGAAUCCUGAAGAAAAUUUAUCAAAGGAUGGGGAUGAAAUAGAAAUAAAAACACCUUUUUUUUUUGUUUUUUUUUGAGACAGGGUCUCACUCUUGUCACCCAUGCUGGAGUGCAGUGGUACAAUCAUGGCUCACUGCAGCCUUGACCCACCUCCCGGGCUCAAGCAAUCCUCCUGCCUCAGCCUCCCAAGUAGCUGGGACCACCGGCAUGUACCACCACGUCCAGCUCAUUUUUUAUUUUUUUGUAGAGACGACGGUCUCACUAUUUUGCUAGGCUUGUCUCAAAUUCUGGCGUUACGCAAUCCUCUCACCUUAGCCUCCCAAAGUGCUGGGACUGCAGGCAUGAGCCACCGUGCUCAGCCCAAAACAAUUUGUUAAACAGAGCAAAAUAAAAUCAAAGAGAAGACUGAAGGUAAUGGGGUCAAAAGUUCCAAAUUAUGUAGUCCAGUCAGCCUACUCUCAAAUUAUUAAAAAAAAAAAAGAAUGAGUAAUAAUGUAAUACGGAAAAUGUGACAAAUUGUUAAAUGAACAAAUUACAGCAAAUCUAAUGAAUGCUGAUAGAAGUUGGAAUAGUGCUUACCCAUGGGGGUGGGUAGUAUUGACUGUGAAGUGGCAUGAAGGUGCUGGAAAUGCCCUAUAUCUUCAUCAUAUAGUGAUGGUUAAGCGAGUAUAAAAUGUAAAGAUAAAUCAUGAAAAUUUGCAGAUGUUCAUGAUUCUAAACAUAAUUAUCCUUUCCUUUACAGUUAUAAUAAAUAAUUACAUCAUUAUUACUUGCAACAUAUGUAGAGUCAUUAUGUCUCUCUCAAAUGCUCAGUUCGAUUAGGACUGCAUUUAUGAACCCUGGACAGCUAAGGAUACUCCCCAUUUUACAAUUUUGUUUUAUGCUUUUAAAAAAAUAAUCCAUCUGAAUACAUACUUCCUAGAGGGAAUAGAAAUAGCCUUCAAUUUGGUCUACAUUAUCACCACUGAAAACUAUGUUUUACUUAGUAAGGAAGAUCUAAUUCCAUGAAAAUAGUUAGCGCUACCUUAAAAAGUUCGGGUACUUGUCAAAAAUGGCUUCCAAAUAUAUUCCUUUUAAUACAGGAUGUGAAAACACUUCCUAAUAAAUUCCUGCAAAAUUAGAUGAUACUGUAUGUACUUCUGAAGGACAGACAAGAAAGUAACCUAAGACCAAAACAAUAGAGGUCUCCUACUACUGGGGAGAAGGAGGAUUAUCAAGAAUAGAGGAAAACAGAGCCUGCCUAAGACUAAUACUGGUCUAGAACAAAAGAGAAAGCUCAAUUCCUACCACCACAAAGCUAAACAGCAUCCAAGGCCCCAUGCCCACCACAACAACACAAACUAGCUCCAAGUAACACCUAAGUAAGAGCAUUCGACUACUAGAGAAGUAGCAAAAGAACAGAGAGAGACCCUCUCUGAAGUUCAGGUGCGCAGAUAAGGCUAACAGGUAAACAUGAAGUAAAAACAUUGGUCAAAACUUUGCAGCAAAUCAAUCCCCAUCUUAAGUACUAGGUGAUAAUAGAUUUAAAGUUGAUAAUGGGCUGGUAGCAGUGGCUCACACCUGUAAUCCCAGCACUUUGGGAGGCUGAAGUGGGUGGAUCAUUUAAGGUCAGGAAUUUGAGACCAGCCUGGCCAACAUGGUGAAACCCUGUAUCUACUAAAAAUACAAAAAAUUAGCCAGGCAUGGUGGCAGGUGCCUGUAAUCCCAGCUACUCGAGAGGCUGAGGCAGGAGAAUUCCUUGAGCCUGGGAGGAAGAGGUUGCAGUGAGCCGAGAUUGCACCACCGCACUCCAGCCUGGGCGACAGAAUGAGAUUUUGUCUAAAAAUAAACAAAUAU